Molecule: ribosomal RNA, 467 nt
Filed under: uncultured bacterium
Lineage: Bacteria
Description: partial 16S ribosomal RNA
Rfam family: Bacterial small subunit ribosomal RNA
Source: RNAcentral
GACGAACGCUGGCGGCGUGCUUAACACAUGCAAGUCGAACGGAAAGGCCUCUUUCGGGGGGUACUCGAGUGGCGAACGGGUGAGUAGCACGUGAGUAACCUGCCCUUGACUUUGGGAUAACUUCAGGAAACUGGGGCUAAUACCGGAUAGGAGCUCCUGCUGCAUGGUGGGGGUUGGAAAGUUUCGGCGGUUGGGGAUGGACUCGCGGCUUAUCAGCUUGUUGGUGGGGUAGUGGCUUACCAAGGCUUUGACGGGUAGCCGGCCUGAGAGGGUGACCGGCCACAUUGGGACUGAGAUACGGCCCAGACUCCUACGGGUGGCAGCAGUGGGGAAUAUUGCACAAUGGGUGGAAGCCUGAUGCAGCAACGCCGUGUGCGGGAUGACGGCCUUCGGGUUGUAAACCGCUUUCGCUCAUGACGAAGCUUUGUGUGACGGUAGUGGGUAAAGAAGCACCGGCUAACUACGUG